ACUCCUACGGGAGGCAGCAGUGGGAAGUAUUGCACAAUGGGCGCAAGCCUGAUGCAGCCAUGCCGCGUGUGUGAAGAAGGCCUUCGGGUUGUAAAGCACUUUCAGUCGUGAGGAAGGUAGUGUAGUUAAUAGCUGCAUUAUUUGACGUUAGCGACAGAAGAAGCACCGGCUAACUCCGUGCCAGCAGCCGCGGUAAUACGGAGGGUGCGAGCGUUAAUCGGAAUUACUGGGCGUAAAGCGCAUGCAGGUGGUUUGUUAAGUCAGAUGUGAAAGCCCGGGGCUCAACCUCGGAAUAGCAUUUGAAACUGGCAGACUAGAGUACUGUAGAGGGGGGUAGAAUUUCAGGUGUAGCGGUGAAAUGCGUAGAGAUCUGAAGGAAUACCGGUGGCGAAGGCGGCCCCCUGGACAGAUACUGACACUCAGAUGCGAAAGCGUGGGGAGCAAACAGGAUUAGAUACCCUGGUAGGAUAGCG
RNAcentral lists this ribosomal RNA (473 nucleotides) under uncultured bacterium. RNAcentral describes it as "bacterial SSU rRNA". It matches the Rfam family "Bacterial small subunit ribosomal RNA", at positions 335 to 799 of the family's 1533-position model. The record is from RNAcentral.